AGUGAUCUUGCAUAGUGGCAAUUGUUUUUGGGGUUCUUUUUUUUUUUUUACAUUUUUUAAGGGUUUUUUUUUUUUUUUAUUAGAACCAUUAACCCUUUCCUUCCCCACUAUUUUGCUGCAAUUGUUACCAUGCAGCGGUAUACGGCUGAGGAGGCAUGUUCCAAAUGUGGCCCUUUUGGCCCCAAACAAUCUGACAAACCCAUGCAUGUGGGGUAUCAAUGUACUCAGGAGAUCAAAAACAAUUACUAUCACAAACUUUGACAAGGGUUGGUGGUAGGAUUAGUGCAUGGAAAGGGUUAAACUAUCAGCAUCUAAAACACCCUGGGGUGUCUAGUUUUCAAAAAUAUAUGGUUUGGUGGGGUAAAUUUAAUUUGCUGGCUUCAAAGAUGCCCCAAAUACCACAUGGAGACAGAAUUACCAGAUUCAGAGAAAAAUGGUUUUGAAUUAGCAAAACGCUACUUGUACUUAUUGCCCCAUAACG
Molecule: long non-coding RNA, 481 nt
Organism: Spea bombifrons (plains spadefoot toad)
Lineage: Eukaryota; Metazoa; Chordata; Amphibia; Anura; Pelobatidae
Exons: 2
Source: RefSeq, a predicted model, not a curated record